Molecule: ribosomal RNA, 492 nt
Filed under: uncultured bacterium
Lineage: Bacteria
Description: partial 16S ribosomal RNA
Rfam family: Bacterial small subunit ribosomal RNA
Source: RNAcentral
AGUGAACGCUGGCGGUAGGCCUAACACAUGCAAGUCGAACGGCAGCACAGUAAGAGCUUGCUCUUACGGGUGGCGAGUGGCGGACGGGUGAGGAAUACAUCGGAAUCUACUUUUUCGUGGGGGAUAACGUAGGGAAACUUACGCUAAUACCGCAUACGACCUACGGGUGAAAGCAGGGGAUCUUCGGACCUUGCGCGAUUGAAUGAGCCGAUGUCGGAUUAGCUAGUUGGCGGGGUAAAGGCCCACCAAGGCGACGAUCCGUAGCUGGUCUGAGAGGAUGAUCAGCCACACUGGAACUGAGACACGGUCCAGACCCCUACGGCAGGCAGCAGUGGGGAAUAUUGGACAAUGGGCGCAAGCCUGAUCCAGCCAUACCGCGUGGGUGAAGAAGGCCUUCGGGUUGUAAAGCCCUUUUGUUGGGAAAGAAAAGCAGCAGGUUAAUACCCCGCUGUUCUGACGGUACCCAAAGAAUAAGCACCGGCUAACUUCGUG